Molecule: ribosomal RNA, 240 nt
Filed under: uncultured bacterium
Lineage: Bacteria
Description: partial 16S ribosomal RNA
Rfam family: Bacterial small subunit ribosomal RNA
Source: RNAcentral
UGGCGAACGGGGGAGUAACGCGUGAGGAACCUGCCUCAAAGAGGGGGACAACAGUUGGAAACGACUGCUAAUACCGCAUAAGCCCACGACCCGGCAUCGGGUAGAGGGAAAAGGAGCAAUCCGCUUUGAGAUGGCCUCGCGUCCGAUUAGCUAGUUGGUGAGGUAACGGCCCACCAAGGCGACGAUCGGUAGCCGGACUGAGAGGUUGAACGGCCACAUUGGGACUGAGACACGGCCCAG